This is an RNA transcript of Vigna radiata var. radiata (mung bean), 1679 nucleotides long. It is a transcript of the gene named F-box/kelch-repeat protein SKIP6, with no coding region annotated. Lineage: Eukaryota; Viridiplantae; Streptophyta; Magnoliopsida; Fabales; Fabaceae. The transcript has 3 exons. The record is from RefSeq and is a predicted model, not a curated record.
UAAAAUAAUAUUAGUUUAAUUGUAUGAGAAGACAUUGAGAAGGCAGAAAAAGAAAAGAGAUGGAUGAGUAAGUAACAUUGGAGAACAACAGAAGCCAUGUGGAAACCCACUUCUUCAGAAGGAGAAGCAGAGGCACCAAAGGCACCACCCAACAACCUGAUCCCGUCCCUUCCAGACGACGUCGCUUUGAACUGCAUAGCACGCAUCCCUCGCUGCCACCACCCAAUCCUACCCCUCGUUUCCAAACCCUUCCGCACCCUCCUCUCCACCCCUCUCUUCUUCACCACGCGCUGCCUCCUCGACUGCACGCAACCCCUCCUCUACCUCACUCUCCGCACGCCCGCCUCCUCCCUCCAGUGGUUCACGCUCCACCGCACACUCCCUAGCCCCCUCUUAGCGCCUCUCCCCCCAAUUCCCUCCCCCGCAGUGGGCUCCGCCUACGCCGUCCUUGGCUCCACCAUCUACGUCCUCGGCGGCUCCAUCAACGAUGUCCCCUCCCCCCACGUCUGGCUCCUUGACUGCCGCUUCCACCGCUGGCUUCCGGGUCCAAGCAUGCGUGUCGCUAGGGAGUUCGCCGCCGCGGGGGUCCUCGGUGGAAAGAUUUACGUCCUCGGUGGCUGCAUCGCUGACACGUGGGCCCGCUCCGCCAACUGGGCGGAGGUCCUGGACCCCGACGUUGGGCGCUGGGAGAGGGUGGCCAGUCCCCCCGAGGUCCGGGAGAAGUGGAUGCACGCCAGCGCGGUCCUCGGCGACAAGGUGUACGCGAUGGCGGACCGCGGCGGCGUCGCGUACGAGCCGCGCAGCGGAUCUUGGGAGAGCGUAGGGGGAGAAUUGGAUCUCGGGUGGAGAGGUAGGGCGUGCGUGGUGGAGGGUAUUUUGUACUGCUACGACUAUUUGGGGAAAAUCAAAGGGUUCGAUGUGGGGCGCGGUGUGUGGGAAGAGUUGCAGGGGUUGGAGAAGGGCUUGCCUAGGUUUCUUUGUGGGGCCACCAUGGCUGAUUUGGGUGGGAAAUUGUGUGUGGUGUGGGAGUGCCGAGAGAAUGGGAAAGAAAUGGAGAUUUGGUGCGCUGAGAUUGGAGUGCAGAAGAAUCCGGAUGGAAAACUGUGGGGUCAACUUGGUUGGUUUGGGAAAGUUCUUUCUGUUCCCAAAGGCUCCUCUGUUGUGCAUUGUUCUUCUGUUUCCUUGUGACCUUUCUCUUUGUUUGUGCCAUUGUAUGUGAAGUUCUGAAUAACUGGAGCUGCUCAACUAGCAGUGCUUCUUUUCUCCCAGGAAACUAUAAGCUGGUUUAAUUUAAACCAACCAGGUCCAAGAAUACCUACCUUCUAACAGCAUUUAUUUAGGAAAAUUUAUACUCUGGUUGUAACCCAAAUUCAUGCAUUCUCAAUAUUUUGUCCAAAAAGUUCAACAUAAUUCUUGUCAAAAUGUGCAUACACAAAUUACGCCUAAACACCAAAUAUGUUGUUGGUGUAUGCAUAAUUCUUUUUCCAAACAGAAAGAUACAGGUUAUUAGCAUGUUAUAAUUAUCAGUUAUGCAAAGUUGGAUUCUUUGCUCAAGAAUUUUGUUUGUCAAGAAGAGGGAAUUAAAAUGAAACAUUUUUCUAUCCCGCUCAUAUGAAGUUUCCGUUCCUAAGGUUUUGACUUGGUUGGGAAUGAGUAUUAUGAGAAAAAUGUGUUUAGGG